UGUUUGUUGUUUCACCCAAAUCAUGGCCGCCUACAGUUCAUUGGCGUAACGUUAAAGCGGCAAUCGUAGGUACAUUAGUGUAAAGUAAAUACAAUAUACAAACGUACCUACUGCAAAUAUGAUUUCAACAAGUAGUACUGUUCUGUGACAACAUGCAAAAUUUAUUGACGUUUCACGAAAUGAUGAAUGAAUAUGACACAAAUUCAAUAAGUAAUGCGAGAAGAACCAACUCUUACAGAAAGUUUCAGCUCAGCAAUAUUGCACAUUGCAACCUCCGACACUCCAUUUUCGAGAUAUUCACGUUGACAAUAGAUAUGCCUCGUCCAGAUGUUCCACACGCCUGUGAUGAGAACUCUCCUUCCGACACUUCGUUUUUGGAGGUAUUCUUAUCGACCUCACCUGAGUUCACACUAUUAAUUUAGCCUUUGUAAGUGCUCUCCUCCGACACAUUUUUCUAAAGUUUUCUAAAUAAUGACACGUUCCACUUACCCUACCCUCCACCGAUACUCUGUUUUUGAGACAGGAGGAAUUAUAAGCGAUGGAAGAGGAGAGAUGUGGUGGUAGAAAAAUAAAAACCUGGUGUGCUGUGACCGGCAAUCUUUCCUGGCGAGAGUCUAACCUGGGGCGAGAGUAAUAAAUAUAUGAUCAAGGGACCUAAUUAUCAUCUUUUCAAUGAAGUAAAGUAAAUCAGUGCUGGUGUAAUUACAUGUCAAAAUAAACUGCCAAAAAUGUACACAUUUGUUUGCAAUAUAUAUACAAUACAGAAACUAUUGCCCUUUAAAAGUAAUUAAUUUUGUCAAUUUACUGCGAAUCGGA
Molecule: long non-coding RNA, 816 nt
Organism: Photinus pyralis (common eastern firefly)
Lineage: Eukaryota; Metazoa; Arthropoda; Insecta; Coleoptera; Lampyridae
Exons: 3
Source: RefSeq, a predicted model, not a curated record